RNAcentral lists this ribosomal RNA (326 nucleotides) under uncultured microorganism. Its description in RNAcentral is "bacterial SSU rRNA". It matches the Rfam family "Bacterial small subunit ribosomal RNA", at positions 9 to 322 of the family's 1533-position model. The record is from RNAcentral.
GAGUUUGAUCGUGGCUCAGGAUGAACGCUGGCGGCGUGCCUAACACAUGCAAGUCGAACGGAUCCAUAUUGAAACCUAGUGAUGUAUGGAUUAGUGGCGGACGGGUGAGUAACGCGUGGAUAACCUGCCGUAUACAGGGGAGUAACACUUAGAAAUAAGGUGCUAAUACCGCAUAAGCGCACGGUUCCGCAUGGAACAGUGUGAAAAACUACCGGUGGUAUACGAUGGAUCCGCGUCUGAUUAGCCAGUUGGCGGGGUAACGGGCCCACCCAAAGACGACGAUCAGUAGCCGGCCUGAGAGGGUGAACGGCCACAUUGGGACGUGA